This 71-nucleotide transfer RNA is filed under the name Camelus bactrianus (Bactrian camel). It matches the Rfam family "tRNA". From Rfam's summary of the family: Transfer RNA (tRNA) molecules are approximately 80 nucleotides in length. Their secondary structure includes four short double-helical elements and three loops (D, anti-codon, and T loops). Lineage: Eukaryota; Metazoa; Chordata; Mammalia; Artiodactyla; Camelidae. The record is from Rfam by way of RNAcentral. RNAcentral also lists the same sequence under 3 other names.
GUUGGUAUGCUCAGUGGUAGAGCACAUGUUUAGCAUGCACUAGGUCCUGGGUUCAAUCCCCAGUACCUCCA